Molecule: long non-coding RNA, 784 nt
Organism: Eleginops maclovinus (Patagonian blennie)
Lineage: Eukaryota; Metazoa; Chordata; Actinopteri; Perciformes; Eleginopidae
Exons: 5
Source: RefSeq, a predicted model, not a curated record
UGGCGAUGUGGCGCCAAAGAACAUUUAUUCCCUCCGUCUGAAAAAGGUAAGUACAUUUUAUUUAUGUAUCCACUCACUCACAUUUUAAGCCACAUUUCAAAUGUUGCUUGCUUUAAGUAAAGUUCUUACCUUCAGGCCAUGCUUGUGGAAAUUAUUCCUGAUGGACUUAAUGAGAUGAGGGACAUCAAAGAUGAUGGGAAUUUUCAGCCCUUCUGCCUCCACACAGUGGGAGUCAUCCCCCCCCCCCCCUGAGGGUCUAGAGUGGCCCCAAGCAGGUGUAAGGCCCGGACAUUGGUGGUGGCUUGGUCACACACAAUUGCCUGAACCUAACAUGUAGAAAAGUAUCAAUGCAUGGCCUAUAGCCUGCAGGUGGUGAAUGGCUCCCCUGAUGGUGUCUGCAAUCUCCUCCGACAGCAUGGAGCUGGAGGAAAAGAAGUAUCCAAUUGGCUGGAAGACAUUGGGAAAGUGCUUGUUAGAGAAGUAUCCGACUCGUGCCGUAACGAAUCUGUGAAGAGUUGUAGCUGGGCCCGGAUGAAAUCACGGCACUUUUCUGAGCAGUUGGGCAGGAUCUCUUUAAGGCUACAUGGGGAGAAAAUGUUAAGUCCAAAAAACAAAGGAGGAGAGGCAAGCAGUGGUGGGUUUCCACAGUUCACCAAUGUGGGGAUGGCUUCUUGUGUGAGUGCUUUUCUUCCAUUAGACUAGUACAGAACAUGAAGGACAUCGUCAAGGACAGUAAUGUCACUGUUGACUAAAAAUGUUUCACUAAUGUUACACACCAGCACAU